AGGACGAACGCUGGCGGCGUGCUUAACACAUGCAAGUCGAGCGGAAAGGCCCUUCGGGGUACUCGAGCGGCGAACGGGUGAGUAACACGUGAGUAAUCUGCCCUUCACUUGGGGAUAACCUCCGGAAACGGUGGCUAAUACCCGAUACGACCUCCGACCGCAUGGUCUGGUGGUGGAAAGUUUUUUCGGUGGAGGAUGUGCUCGCGGCCUAUCAGCUUGUUGGUGGGGUAAUGGCCUACCAAGGCUUCGACGGGUAGCCGGCCUGAGAGGGUGACCGGCCACACUGGGACUGAGACACGGCCCAGACUCCUACGGGAGGCAGCAGUGGGGAAUAUUGGACAAUGGGCGGAAGCCUGAUCCAGCAACGCCGCGUGAGGGAUGAAUGCGUUCGGUUGUAACCUCUUUCAGUACCGACGAAGCGCAAGUGACGGUAGGUACAGAAGAAGCACCGGCCAACUACGUGCCGAGCAGCCGAC
RNAcentral lists this ribosomal RNA (476 nucleotides) under uncultured soil bacterium. Its description in RNAcentral is "bacterial SSU rRNA". It matches the Rfam family "Bacterial small subunit ribosomal RNA", at positions 26 to 518 of the family's 1533-position model. The record is from RNAcentral.